RNAcentral lists this long non-coding RNA (1033 nucleotides) under Felis catus (domestic cat). RNAcentral describes it as "lncRNA (ENSFCAG00000049738.1)". The record is from RNAcentral. Lineage: Eukaryota; Metazoa; Chordata; Mammalia; Carnivora; Felidae.
CUCAGAUGUAAUAAUGUAUUUGAGAACUUGGUUUGCUUCCCAAUUUCCUGACAUUCUCCCACCCCAAAUUAAUGCUUUAUAAUUUACACAGUGUUUUCUUAUUGCUUCCAGAAUCAUGAGGGGUCACCUUUGGUUAAGGAAAUACGUAUCUAUCAACAAAUUAAGGGACCUGGGGAUCUGUUCGUAAAGAUUCUUCAAAUCUUCAUCUGGGAGCCUUUUAUGGUGCAGGUUGGUAGCUUUCUGGAGCCACGAGCUUAUAUCAGAGACCAUCUUCCCCUUGGAAUAUAGCAGCUGACUGAAAACGAAGUUAACCCUAAUACCAUGUACCACAGAUAGAUCCCAUCUCAAGGGCCACUUGGAAAUCUUGACAAGAAAUGUGCCACAAAGAAGUACAGGCAUUGUGAUAUGAAGAAUGGAAAUGGGACACCCUGAAAAGCUGAUUCAUUUUAAACACGAAAGCCAAGGAUCCAUUGAUGUGUCAAGGUGCAGAUUUACAACAUGGCCAAUUUGGUCUGGAGAAAGCAAAACGUGACUUCUCUCAUGGGAACUGAAUCCACAAUCUUAUCCUUUCUAGUCUUAGAUUCUAAUAGAAAUGAAGAACAAUGCAAAUGAAUGGUGAUUUUAGAAAUCAUCUUUAAAUUUAAUCCUUUGACAGACAAAUUAGUGUGGUCCUCUCCCACCUAUCAAUAAUACCUGAAUAGCCUACUAUGCUUUCAUCUGGCAGAAUCUGUUGGAAAGUUAUUUGUGUUGUUUUCCAUUUAUAUAGUUCAAGGUAAAUCCCAACAGUACUAUAAACCAUGGGAAUUUUCAAGCCUACAUAGCCCCUGAUCUUUUCAAUAGCCCCAAAGGGUCCUAGGCCCCCGUGAACUCAGACUCCAAGUAAUUUGAGAAAGUCUCACUCUGUUCUGAAGAUCUAAAGGCAGUAAAUCAGUUGCUCUGGACCCUGUUGGGAUUGAGUCUAAUAAGGGAAGUUUCCUUAUAAAUAACAAUGGGAUUGAUUAGUGGCCCAAUAAUAAAACCUUUUUUUCCCCCA